CCACUCAUAACAUCUGUCCAGUCAAAAACUGCACUAUAUUCAGUAAGAUCAUAAAUAUAUACCACAAAUAAUGAGACUAAAACAUUGCCCUGGGGUACUCCACUUGUCUUUCCCAUAAAAAAUUGUAACAUUCACUUGUACUGUCUGCUUGAUAGGUCUCAAAUAAAGGAACAAGACUUCAGACCAAAGCCAGAUUGGUGAGGAUCAUUGUGCUGGAACAUCAUCAUCUUUUCAUAGACGCCUGCUCCUAGGAGCUGCCACCAGGGGACGGCCACGGCAGAAGAGUUUCCAACUGUAACGCAUCACAGCAAUGCUAGGGAUGCUAACACAGGCCUCCCCACAGAGUAGCAGAGGGCGGCGUGCGGCCCUGCAUUGCAUCAAAUCAGCUGCCCCAUCACGGCCAUGCCCACGCCCGUCAUUCUGGGCCAAGGAGAACCUCGGGUGGCAGGCAGCACAGCGGGGGAGGCGGCGGUGCCAGGCCAGGAGGAAUUUGGCGAUGACAUUUACCAUCUGGCGAGGGAGCAGCCGUGGGUGGUGGCAGCAACUCAUCGAGCGGCGUGGAGGAGGGAGCCGCCAGGGUGGACCACGCCUACAGCCUGCACGUCACCGCCCGCCAUGCACUAAGGGCUGUGGGCGUGCAUGACCGCCAACCAAAGACUCAGCCCAGAGGAAGAGCCAGGCCAGCACCACCACAGGGACAGAGGACGAUGAGGAGAGUGUUCCAACGCUGCUCCAACUCAAGGUUCAUAGGCCACACGCUGAGCCCUGCCAAGAUGUCCUGCCAGGUGGUCGGCCUCCACCCCUACACCUCCCACUGGUUCCUCCUGCUGCCCCACUAAAAGGAUGUGCCAAGUAUGCCCUCCAGCCUGCAGUCCUUGGAUGGUGAGUGCAGUAACGUGCCCCCAUGCCUCACCCACCCUUGCCUUCAUGUCACCUGGCAAUGCAACUCUGCCUCAGACUCCAGUAAUUUAUGUUCACCCACCCUGCUGCCAGCAUUUGUUAGGAUAUAGGAACACACCAAUGCUUUUUUAUUCCCCUUUCUCCUCCUCCUCCUCCUUUAGAUAGUCUAUUUCAGAGAGACACCAACACAAUAACACGCAGCAACGGUAUGAAGUUGAAGGGAAACUGAUGUAACACAUUGGUGCGCAAAAGUUUUUUCAAUAAUAGAGUCGUCGAUCACUGGAAUAGACUCCCACCGUCAGUAGUUAGCGCACAGAGUAUCAAUAGCUUCAAGUCUUCAUUGGAUAAGUACUUCAGGGAUAUAAGAUUAUACUGACCCUUCUUCGCAUGUUUUCAGACAGAUUGCAGCAAGACCUCAACCUAAAUCCAUAUUAUUCUCUCCCACAACCUAGAUUGCAAGUAGCGUAAGUUAACAAAAGAGUAAAGCAACAGUUAAUGUCCGCAUGACAGAUGGAGUGAGGUGUGGGUGCAGUAAGGUGACAGGUUACUGGUGCGUGCCUAGUACCGCCAGUAAAACGAGGAUCAAGCCUCCACCUCACCCAUCACCCUCCGCGUGCCGUGGAUUAAGGCCAACCUUAACGUGUGCAUAUCUGGUGAGCUCUGGGACCACCCUGCCCUCCCUCACCCACAGGGAUGAGCUUAUCAAGGAGUGGGCGAAACCCUCCACACUCUGACCUGUGUGUUGGCCCGCCAUGUGUACGCCCUCGGCCUCAGCAGUCUGCCGCUGGAGCGCGUCGGUGAACGGCGACUCGUCAGGAGGGGCUUCACCAAGCGCUCCGGCCUGGAUGUUAGUGCUGAGUGUUGCCUCCCAGAUAGUGAAGUCGGUUAGUCUGAAUUGGUCUUAGAAAUCACUACGUUUACCUCAGUUUACUAAGGAGGAAAUUACACUGAAAUCUAGGCGUCCGGAUUCUGAUGUGCAGGGAUUUGUAAGGGAUGUGAGUGCCUGAGUGUUGCUGUUGGUGUCGUGGAAGUCCAGGAGUCUGAAUUGGUCUGAAAAAUCCCAGUAAAAUUUAUUUUUGCUAACGGGGAUUUUUUAAGCUGAAAUAUAGUUCGCUCGUUUGCGACAACGUCGUCAUAACUCAAAAAUAGCAAUUUUUCACGAGAGCCAUUUUAAAGAAUGAAAACACUCUCAAUAUUGUGAAUAGUCCCAAAGGACCAUAGCUGGAACAUUUUUUGAAACAUCAAACAGUCCUUUAAAGUUUAUAGAAAUUGAAAUAGUUAUACCUCUCUAAUCGAACCUUUAUUUAAACUUUUAUAAUGUUUUUUUUUAAUAUGACGUUCUUCAUAAAAAAAUAGUAGACCUCUCAUGUACUAUUUUGUUUUGUGCCAUUAUUGAAAGGAAAAUAAUCACCAAUAUGCUACUUAAUUAUGUAUUGUUCAUUGCUUAUUACUUUGACAAGAUUGAUGAUAAUACAUUUUCUUUUUAUGAAAAUGAUAGAUACUUCCUAAUAAAUUAAAGAUAUUGACUGUAACACAAAAAAAAAAAAAAAAAAAAC
Molecule: long non-coding RNA, 2456 nt
Organism: Eriocheir sinensis (Chinese mitten crab)
Lineage: Eukaryota; Metazoa; Arthropoda; Malacostraca; Decapoda; Varunidae
Exons: 5
Source: RefSeq, a predicted model, not a curated record